GCUAAAGCUUUCUUUUGUUAAAUAAGGAAUUAUUUAUCAAAUUAAUCACUAGUAUAUAUAUAUGAUGAACUUAUGGAUGUAGAUUUAAAUCUAAGAAAAAAAUGGCCAAAUUCAUCUACUGUAUCAUUCUACUCAUUUUGAUGAUUUCUUCCACCUUUCUAUUGCCGGUUGAUGCAGAUGCAUAUUGGAGUCCCAGAAAGCUGCAGGAAAAGCCACCGUUGCCAGGCCCUGCGGCUCCUCCUCCAGGUGCUCCGCCGCCUCAAAUGUUAGAGCAGCCCACCUCCUUUAUGGCCCCCGGUUAAACGUUAUUUUUUGUUGACAGUAAUUCUGGAUGAUUAUGAUAUUCAAUCUUGUUUUAUCUAAUUUUUUAUUUCAAAUUUUAAUUAUAUUUAUAUAUUGGUAUGUUAUAUCA
Molecule: long non-coding RNA, 412 nt
Organism: Mercurialis annua (annual mercury)
Lineage: Eukaryota; Viridiplantae; Streptophyta; Magnoliopsida; Malpighiales; Euphorbiaceae
Exons: 2
Source: RefSeq, a predicted model, not a curated record